RNAcentral lists this transfer-messenger RNA (291 nucleotides) under Desulfobacterales. RNAcentral describes it as "JAAXQD01 sp012974475 Standard tmRNA". It matches the Rfam family "transfer-messenger RNA". Rfam says of the family: Bacterial tmRNA, also known as 10Sa RNA or SsrA, is named for its dual tRNA and mRNA-like properties. The record is from RNAcentral. RNAcentral also lists the same sequence under 1 other name. Lineage: Bacteria; Pseudomonadati; Thermodesulfobacteriota; Desulfobacteria.
GGGGGCGAAACGGCUUCGACGGGGAUAAAGAAGUUCGGGUUGCAUACCAAGCGCUUACCUGCUUGUAAAAAAGGUGGGAACUAAACAUAAUCGCAGAUGAUUAUAAUUACGCUUUAGCCGCUUAGGGCUAACGUCCUGCCGGACCAUUCCUGCUAAUCCGGUAAGGGCGUCGACUAGCAGGAUAGCCGAUCCAGGAGACUUGAAAAGGCGAAAACUAGAGUUCAGGAUAUGUAUGUAGAAGCCUGUGCGGAAUGUUUUCGGACGCGGGUUCGACUCCCGCCGCCUCCACCA